This is a non-coding RNA of Rhineura floridana, 687 nucleotides long. NCBI's taxonomy places the organism in Eukaryota, Metazoa, Chordata, Lepidosauria, Squamata, Rhineuridae. The record is from the annotation of a RefSeq genome assembly.
GAUGACCCCAACUCACUGAAUCCAAAGCAAGGGUCGAUCUGGCAUGAUGAAGAUCUCCACUUACAUUUGCCCUGCUCUGUGGCUCUUCUUGGCUGCUAACAGCAGCAAAGUCUUUGGUUCUUCUGAAUCUAUCACUUUGACUCAGCCCAGGACAGUGAAGGCAUCCCCAGGGGGCUCUAUUACUCUGGACUGUGUAGUAUCUGGAUAUAAUAUCAAUGAUCACCACAUGCAAUGGAUCCGUCAAGCCCCUGAAAAAGGCCUUAUCAACAUAGCAAGCUUCAGAACUGGAUAUCCCGCAUAUGUUGCCAAUCAAUUGAAAGGACGCGCAACCCCCUUCACCAGUGGCUCGACGGCAAAACUAACGAUAAACGCUCUGACAGAUGAAGACACGAGUGUCUACUAUUGUGCAAGACAGUACACGCUGGCAUAGAUCAUGGUUGCCAUUGUACAAUAUCCUCUAGAAAACCCAAAUAUCUUGCUAAUUACAUCUUGUUGAUGGGUUUUCUGUUUUAAGAAGUUUCAUUUCCUGUUUUGAAGAGAGCUUGAAUGAGCAAAUGUUUAAGAGCAAGUGUUGUUACUAAUUUUGGGAGUCAGAAAGAGGAAGUUGGUUCUCUUGUGGCUAGUUUAGUUAAAACGCUUAUAUCUUGCCCUGCUAAUGUAAAAAUACACUCAGGGUGUCUUAAUAUA